GAGACUCUUACCGCGCCGAGUUUUAGUAUUGCUCCAUAUCAUAUCAAAAAAAAAAUCCAAAGGAAGUUAUCUAGCUCCUUGGCACCUCACUCAACUGCUUGACUUUCUUUACGUUAGUAUGUUCACCUUUAAUGCUCACCUUACUCGGCUAUGCCCCUUGCCCAUGCACACAUGUUCAAUCUUGAUGGCUCUUCUCUACUCUAGUCCACCCAAGACCCAUUCGGCAACCUAAUCGUAGAAGAGAAAGCCUUCCAGCCAGAAAAAACAUAGGACCUCUCCGCCUUACUAAAUUGAGAAUAGUGGUCGAUCUACGAGUCACGCAAGAAAGCUACAGGCCAAAAACUAAAGAAGACAAAGCGGGGAUCACUUGUUUCGUUUGCUUACUAAUUACUGAAAUCAAAGGCACAUGCAUACGGGAGUAAUUAGUCAUUAGUAAUGAAUUAGUCAUGUAACGAUCAAUCUAUGAAGGGCUUCGCCUCGAGAAAGAACUAGUGUUCUUGAGUAUAAGCCUGACCUAUUUGAAUCUCCAUCAGUGGCUUAUUAGUCUUUCGACAAUGUUUUUGAAGUACAGUA
RNAcentral lists this long non-coding RNA (573 nucleotides) under Amborella trichopoda. RNAcentral describes it as "long non-coding RNA (ATRI_LNC000668)". Lineage: Eukaryota; Viridiplantae; Streptophyta; Magnoliopsida; Amborellales; Amborellaceae. The record is from RNAcentral.